Molecule: non-coding RNA, 144 nt
Organism: Gossypium hirsutum (cotton)
Lineage: Eukaryota; Viridiplantae; Streptophyta; Magnoliopsida; Malvales; Malvaceae
Source: Rfam
UUUUGAAAAAUUAAUAUUUUUUAUUGUUAAAAAUUAAUUUGAUUGAUAAAUUAAUUAUACAGUUACACGUGACGAGUCAUGUGUAUCUCAUUUUAAUGUACAAAGAUUAAUUUUUAACAAUAGAAAUGUAUGGAGUUUUUAACA